UGUGGUCUGCGAGGGGAGCAACAACCACGACUGCGACAACGACGACGACGACGACGGCAACAGCAGCAGCGCGGUACCAAGGAGACAACGGCGACAAAGGUUCGCAAUGAAGUGUGCAAUGAUACUUCACCAGGACGAGUUGUUGUGCCAGGUGGUGCUGGCUGCACGUGUUGGAAGACGCCAAAGAAAACGUAAACACGCAGAAGGGGACAUCGCGUCAAGCGGCAUUACCAAUUGUUUAUUUUUCGAGCAAGAACGGUGCACAAACAUAGAAGAUAUAAGGCGUCAUGGGACGGACAGAUUUUUCUGGGGUGCUCGCCAAAGAAUGCUUACCCAUUACUGUAGGACUGUAGGAAACCAAGGAAAUGGUGAUAACCCUCGUAAUAUCCUUUUGACUUGAGCCGGGUGUGAUGUAAACUGAGGCCAAAGCAACUUUCCCUUCCACGAAUGUAAUAUGGCUCAUACAUCUGCCUGCCACGCUGCGGUCCAUGGUUUGAAUACCGGUCAGAAGUAUGUUUAUUUAUU
Dermacentor albipictus is the source of this 525-nucleotide non-coding RNA. NCBI's taxonomy places the organism in Eukaryota, Metazoa, Arthropoda, Arachnida, Ixodida, Ixodidae. The record is from RefSeq and is a predicted model, not a curated record.